Molecule: ribosomal RNA, 253 nt
Filed under: uncultured bacterium
Lineage: Bacteria
Description: partial 16S ribosomal RNA
Rfam family: Bacterial small subunit ribosomal RNA
Source: RNAcentral
UACGGAGGGGGCAAGCGUUGUUCGGAAUUACUGGGCGUAAAGGGCUCGUAGGCGGCCAACUAAGUCAUACGUGAAAUCCCUCGGCUUAACCGGGGAACUGCGUCUGAUACUGGAUGGCUUGAGUUCGGGAGAGGGAUGCGGAAUUCCAGGUGUAGCGGUGAAAUGCGUAGAUAUCUGGAGGAACACCGGUGGCGAAGGCGGCAUCCUGGACCGAUACUGACGCUGAGGAGCGAAAGCCAGGGGAGCAAACGGG